This 253-nucleotide ribosomal RNA is filed under the name uncultured bacterium. RNAcentral's name for it is "partial 16S ribosomal RNA". It matches the Rfam family "Bacterial small subunit ribosomal RNA", at positions 524 to 776 of the family's 1533-position model. The record is from RNAcentral.
UACAGAGGUCCCAAGCGUUGUUCGGAUUCAUUGGGCGUAAAGGGUGCGUAGGCGGCGCGGUAAGUCGGGUGUGAAAUCUCGGAGCUUAACUCCGAAACUGCAUUCGAUACUGCCGUGCUUGAGGACUGGAGAGGAGACUGGAAUUUACGGUGUAGCGGUGAAAUGCGUAGACAUCGUAAGGAAGACCAGUGGCGAAGGCGGGUCUCUGGACAGUUCCUGACGCUGAGGCACGAAGGUCAGGGGAGCAAACGGG